This 101-nucleotide small RNA is filed under the name bovine gut metagenome. Its description in RNAcentral is "RT-5 RNA". It matches the Rfam family "RT-5 RNA". Rfam says of the family: Clostridium (Firmicutes). Environment (Cow rumen (57)) The record is from RNAcentral.
GCGCCUGCGGCGGGUGCAGCACGCCCAAUGGACAACGGCCUUGCAGGCGGCCGGGCUUGUACCACCUGGUGAUCAGCAAUUUUGCUGAUUCAAAAUCAUUC